GGGCCUCCGGUAGCUUACACUCAUCACCCUGUGACAUACCUAAAACGUUGCUUCGGCGGGAACAGACGGCCCCGUAACACGGGCCGCCCCCGCCAGAGGACCCCCUAACUCUGUUUCUAUUAUGUUUCUUCUGAGUAAAACAAGCAAAUAAAUUAAAACUUUCAACAACGGAUCUCUUGGCUCUGGCAUCGAUGAAGAACGCAGCGAAAUGCGAUAAGUAAUGUGAAUUGCAGAAUUCAGUGAAUCAUCGAAUCUUUGAACGCACAUUGCGCCCGCCAGUAUUCUGGCGGGCAUGCCUGUUCGAGCGUCAUUACAACCCUCAGGCCCCCGGGCCUGGCGUUGGGGAUCGGCGAGGCGCCCCCUGCGGGCACACGCCGUCCCCCAAAUACAGUGGCGGUCCCGCCGCAGCUUCCAUUGCGUAGUAGCUAACACCUCGCAACUGGAGAGCGGCGCGGCCACGCCGUAAAACACCCAACUUCUGAAUGUUGACCUCGAAUCAGGUAGGAAUACCCGCUGAACUUAAGCAUAUCAAAUAAGCCGGAGG
This 544-nucleotide unclassified non-coding RNA is filed under the name Fusarium solani. Its description in RNAcentral is "sequence contains 18S rRNA gene, ITS1, 5.8S rRNA gene and ITS2". The stretch from base 157 to 310 matches the Rfam family "5.8S ribosomal RNA". The record is from RNAcentral. Lineage: Eukaryota; Fungi; Ascomycota; Sordariomycetes; Hypocreales; Nectriaceae.